GACAGAGGUCCCAAGCGUUAGGCGGAAUCACUGGGCUUAAAGCGUGUGUAGGCGGAUGCCUAAGUACCUUGUGAAAUCCCACGGCUCACCCGUGGAACUGCUUGGUAUACUGGGUGUCUUGAGCCACUUAGGGGCUACCGGAACAAAUGGUGGAGCGGCGAAAUGCGUAGAUAUUCGGAAGAACACCGGUGGCGAAGGCGACCUUCUGGGCCGCAACUGACGCUGAGGCACGAAAGCGUGGGGAGCGAACAGG
This 253-nucleotide ribosomal RNA is filed under the name uncultured bacterium. RNAcentral's name for it is "partial 16S ribosomal RNA". It matches the Rfam family "Bacterial small subunit ribosomal RNA", at positions 524 to 776 of the family's 1533-position model. The record is from RNAcentral.